This 1532-nucleotide ribosomal RNA is filed under the name uncultured bacterium. RNAcentral describes it as "bacterial SSU rRNA". It matches the Rfam family "Bacterial small subunit ribosomal RNA". The record is from RNAcentral.
AGAGUUUGAUCCUGGCUCAGAAUCAACGCUGGCUGUGCGUGCCUCAAGACAUGCAAGUCGAACGAUUAAAGCCCUCUUCGGAGGGUGCAUAAAGUGGCGCACGGGUGAGUAACACGUAAGUAAUCUACCUUCGAGUGGGGAAUAACGUUCGGAAACGAACGCUAAUACCGCAUAAUGCAGCGGCAUCGCAAGAUGACAGUUGUUAAAGAUUUAUCGCUUGAAGAGGAGCUUGCGGCAGAUUAGCUAGUUGGUAGGGUAACGGCUUACCAAGGCGACGAUCUGUAUCCGGUCUAAGAGGACGGUCGGACACACUGACACUGAAUAACGGGUCAGACUCCUACGGGAGGCAGCAGUCGGGAAUUUUGGGCAAUGGGCGAAAGCCUGACCCAGCAACGCCGCGUGAAGGAUGAAGUAUUUCGGUAUGUAAACUUCGUAAGAAUAGGAAGAAUAAAUGACGGUACUAUUUGUAAGGUCCGGCUAACUACGUGCCAGCAGCCGCGGUAAUACGUAGGGACCAAGCGUUGUUCGGAUUUACUGGGCGUAAAGGGCGCGUAGGCGGCAAUUCAAGUCAGCUGUGAAAUCUCCGGGCUUAACUCGGAACGGUCAGCUGAUACUGCUUUGCUAGAGUACAGAAGGGGCAAUCGGAAUUCUUGGGUGUAGCGGUGAAAUGCGUAGAUUUCAAGAGGAACACCUGAGGUGAAGACGGGUUGCUGGGCCGAUACUGACGCUUGAAGGCGCCGAAAAGCUUAGGGUAGCAAACGGGAUUAGAUACCCCGGUAGUCCCUAGCCCUAAAACGAUUAAUANUUGGGUGUUCUGGAAGUUUUAUCCUCCCGGGUGUCGUCGCCUACGUUUUAGUNUUCCGGCUGGGGGAGUACGCCACGCCAAGUGUUGAGAAACUCAAAAGGAAUUGACGGGGACCCGCACAACCGGUGGAGCAUGUGGUUUAAUUCGACGCAACGCGAAGAACCUUACCUGGACUAGAAUGUGAGGGAAGGUCACGUAACAGUGACCGUCCGGGCAACCGGACCCAAAACAAGGUGCUGCAUGGCGUCGUCAGCUCGUGCCGUGAGAUGUUGGGUUAAGUCCCGCAACGAGCGCAACCCCUAUUGACAGUUGCUAACAUUAAGUUGAGAACUCUGUCAAAGACUGCUGUUGAUAAAACGGAGGAAGGUGGGGAUGAUGUCAAGUCAUCAUGGCCUUUAUGUUCAGGGCUACACACGUGCUACAAUGGUUGGUACAAAAUGUCGCAAUCUCGUAAGAGGGAGCUAAUCAUUUAAAGCCAAUCUCAGUUCGGAUUGAAGUCUGCAACUCGACUUCAUGAAGUUGGAAUCGCUAGUAAUCGCAGAUCAGAACGCUGCGGUGAAUACGUUCCCGGGUCUUGUACACACCGCCCGUCACAUCACGAAAGUAGGUUGUACUAGAAGUAGCUGGGCUAACCCGCAAGGGAGGCAAGUUACCACGGUAUGAUUUAUAAUUGGGGUGAAGUCGUAACAAGGUAGCAUGUAGGAGAACCUGUGGCUGGAUCACCUCC